This 2285-nucleotide unclassified non-coding RNA is filed under the name Centruroides sculpturatus (bark scorpion). Its description in RNAcentral is "uncharacterized LOC111627791, transcript variant X5". The record is from RNAcentral. Lineage: Eukaryota; Metazoa; Arthropoda; Arachnida; Scorpiones; Buthidae.
CAUAUGUGCCGUGUUGUGUUUCAAUAAGAUGUAAACAAAGCUACUUGUGUGUGGUGUGCUGUCUCAAGGUCUUCCUUGUGGAGCGCAUGUUGUCUCAUAAUUGCAUCUCGCCACACUAUCCCGAGCCAUGAUGAAUUGUCAUGUCACAUAAGAUCACAUGCAAUGGAUUGGCUCGGCAUCGAUCAAAUACAUAGAUUUACAGAUUAGUCUUCAAGUAUCGAAAAGGAGGUCACUUUUUGAGGGAGGACAGAACUUACGAAAGAAGGACUGUCCUCCCUAAAGGAGGAUGAUUGGUCACCUUAUUAUUAAUCAAAGCCAAACAAUCGUAAUAAUGAAACAGGUUCAUUAUUAUUGCCUGAUUCAUUAAGGUGAUCAUUUGGCUUUUACUUUUCUCAAUUUUCAAUAAAAUUUGACAACUGUUCUUUGCUCCGUUUUCAAUUUUCUGAUGACAUGCAUAAAACUAUUAUUACUCUUUCCAUCAUAAAUCAUGACCAAAUUUUAUCAGACAAGUUUCAAUUUGCACUUGUUGUAACAAGCAUACACUAAUAAAUCUAACCAUGUAUAUUAUUUUGGCCUCUUAUAUUAAUACUAAAUGUAGAGUGCAUUCAGUAUCAUCAUUUAAUUGGCACACUGUAAAUACAAAAAGGCUGUUAAUCAAGCUAUCCAACAAUUAUUUGCUGUUAUUCUUGAACAAUGUUGCAAAGUGUGAUCAAUUUUUCUAUUAUAAAAAUAUUUACUGAUCAGUUAUCUGCAAACACAUUGUUAUAAUAUAUUUUAAUUAGUAAAUUAAUUAAUAUUGUUAUUUUUGUCUUAUCAUUUUUUUAUUCUGCAUGUUUGAAGAUGACAUUAUCAGGAAAAUGUCAGAUAGUCUUGAACAUCAAGACACCUGAUGAGAUUAAAGAAGAAUCAUGGACUGCAGUAACUCUCAUCAAGGAAUUGAACACACCAGAGUCAUCAAUAAUGUGGUGUGCGGAAAGGCGUCUGUUGACAAAUGAACGCCACUGCACCUCGUGCAGCAAGUCGCUUUGUUUGACGGCAAAUAAGAGUGUCAUUGACAAAUAUCAGUGGCGUUGUAAGAAGUGUUCUGUUGUAGAAUCCAUUCGUAAAAAAUCUGUCUUUCAAAAUUGUCAUUUAACUAUUUUACAAAUUAUAAUAAUUAUGUAUUUUUGGUCAAGAGAGUAUCCGUCCAGAAUAGCUGCAGUGGAAGUUGAAGUGAGUAAAAAAGUGGCCAUAGAUUGGUAUAAUUUCUUUAGAGAUAUCUGCAAAAAUUACUUUGAUUCCCAUCCAGUUCAGUUAGGAGGUUUGGAUGAUAAUGGGUUUCCAAAGGUAGUAGAAGUGGAUGAGACAUUUAUUUUCCAUAAGAAUCAUAAUUGUGAACAAACUAAAAAUGAUAGAAAAUGCGUAUUUGGAGGCAUCGAACGUGAUUCGCGAAAGUGUUUCCUAGUGGAAGUACCAAACCGGAAAGCUCAAACACUUUUUCCAAUUAUAGAACAAUAUGUAUUGCCUGGAAGCAGGAUUAUAUCGGAUGACUGUUCUGCAUAUGCCAAAAUUGGCCAAAUAAAUGAUGGGAUAUAUCAGCACGAUAGCGUCCACGAACGAGAUUUUGUGGAUGGCAUAGAUCCAGAAAUCCACACUCAACACAUUAAAAAUAUGUGGUCAAGAGCAAAACAAAAAUUAAAACAUCAAUAUUAUAAAAAUACCAAAUUAUUUCAACCUUAUUUAUUAGAAUUUCAAUGGCGAUGUUUGUUUAAAACUCAUGCUUUUGAAAACUUUUUAAUGUGUGUUUCAAAUAAAUAUCCAUGUUAAUUUUUUAAUUGUCUUUUUUUAUGAUGGAAUUUGUACAUCUUAUAUGUGUUCAAUAUUGAUCAUCUGAUUUAUCCCAGUCAAGAUUCUCCUAAAUUAAUAGCUAAUUAGAUUUCAGUUUGCAUCAACAUUAUUUGAUGAUUCUCCAUUUACUUUUAAGUAAUGAACAUAACAAUGACUAUAGAGGAUCAUAGUCUCAAUUGAAUGGCAGUGAUUUUUAUAAGGAAGAGAAGAGACAAUAUGAAAUAUGCAUUUCCUAUAUCUGUGAAUAAAGUUUAAUGUAAGUUUGCUAAUCAAGUUGUCCAGUAAGAAUCUACAGAGUUGCUGCUACUGUUGUCAAACUGAUAUGAAUUAAUACAUCCGGUCCAAUGAUACUUGCUUGGAUGAGUAAAAUAUUUUCUUUUUUUAUAUAAUUUUGAGUAUUUAUUCAACAAUGGAAGUUUUCUGAAAAAUAAGAAAUAUAUUUGUGAAUAAAUAUUUAU